RNAcentral lists this ribosomal RNA (271 nucleotides) under uncultured prokaryote. RNAcentral's name for it is "partial 16S ribosomal RNA". It matches the Rfam family "Bacterial small subunit ribosomal RNA", at positions 524 to 794 of the family's 1533-position model. The record is from RNAcentral.
UACGGAGGAUCCGAGCGUUAUCCGGAUUUAUUGGGUUUAAAGGGUGCGCAGGCGGAAGAUUAAGUCGGUGGUGAAAUUUUGCAGCUCAACUGUAAAAGUGCCUUCGAAACUGGUUUCCUUGAGUGUAGAUGAAGUAGGCGGAAUUUGUGGUGUAGCGGUGAAAUGCAUAGAUAUCACGAGGAACUCCGAUUGCGCAGGCAGCUUACUAAACUACUACUGACGCUCAGGCACGAAGGCGUGGGGAUCAAACAGGAUUAGAUACCCCUGUAGU